UACGGAGGGAGCUAGCGUUGUUCGGAAUUACUGGGCGUAAAGCGCACGUAGGCGGCUUUUUAAGUCAGGGGUGAAAGCCCGGAGCUCAACUCCGGAACUGCCUUUAAGACUGCAUCGCUAGAAUUGUGGAGAGGUAAGUGGAAUUCCGAGUGUAGAGGUGAAAUUCGUAGAUAUUCGGAAGAACACCAGUGGCGAAGGCGACUUACUGGACACAUAUUGACGCUGAGGUGCGAAAGCGUGGGGAGCAAACAGG
Molecule: ribosomal RNA, 253 nt
Filed under: uncultured bacterium
Lineage: Bacteria
Description: partial 16S ribosomal RNA
Rfam family: Bacterial small subunit ribosomal RNA
Source: RNAcentral